AUUAUUAUACAUUCAAAUGUCUUUUCCACUUUUAUUUGUGAGCGGGGUUUUUUGCUUAACAGUCAAUUGAGGUGCAUUCUUAGUCUACAAGAAAUUUAAUCUGAGUAAUAUUCAUAAAUGCAGAGACUCAAAUCUGUUAUUAUUUAAUAAAUGAAUGCAUGGCUGUUUCAGAGUAUUGUCUCAGGGUAGCACCCUCCUGUUUUGAUAUCUUUGUAAACUGGAACAAGCAGAAAGGAAGGCCAGGCUAUGAAGGCAGUCCUGGCCAUACAGAGAGCAGUGUAACAACUGCCUCUUGAUUUAUUUUGCACCAGAUUUUAGUUCUCUUGCCUUCACAUACCCAUAGGGAACUGCAUUUUACUGUAGUAACACUUAGAUACACAUCCCUGAGAGAAGAACUGAUCCUCAGAAAUAAGUUUUGAACAAAAAGGUGAGUAGAGAAAAUAUAGACUUAAUUGUAUAUCUAAAAUAACAGAACUGACUCAAACUGUAGAUACAUUCAGUGCAGCAGGGGAACCUGAAAUUAGAAAUUUUUUCUUUUGUUUUCUGCCUCAUCUGGUUUUCUGCUUGUAAUGAGGGCUUAAUGCCCUUUUCUUUUUUCUGUCUUCUUUUCAAAUAAAACUGAAUCAAGCUAUUAAUACAUUCCAUACAGCAAGGUAACCUGAAAUUACACUUUUCACUGUUUCUGCCUCCUCUAUUUUUGUGCUAGAAGAGGGGAUUUCUUGCCUUUUCCCUUUUGUCUUCAUCUGUUACGAUUUCUGUAUAUUAGGCUCAUGAUUCAUUUCACUCUUUUCUCCUAACCCUCCCAUGUCUGGUUACAGGCCACUUUUCCAAAACCCCAGGGAUACAGAUUCCAUUUUGUUCUGUUUUCUGUUUCUCCACCUGCUGCUGACUGACUCUGCUUGGCUUGUCCUCCCAUCCCAAAGCUUGCUCAGCAACCAGCACAGCUUCUGUCCACAACUUCCAUCCACAGCUUCCCACCUUCCCCGUCUGCCAUUUCAAUCUCUCCCACACGUAACCAUUGCUGGGGAGCCCCAAAACUCCCAGCUCCAGUGCUGGUUACUGUGCCUGAGAAAAUGCCUUUAUUCAGGCCAUUAUUCAUUUAUUCAGGAGCUGGAAUCUCAGGAGCCGCUCUCCAUGCUGGCUCUGUUAGGUGAUCAGGAUUUUUGGGAGAGCAGCACACAGCUCAUGGCAGGGCCAGAGUUUCUGUGUGGCAGCACUGAGAACACAAAUACACGCAGGAAUCGUGUGGGCUCCUUAUCCAGGUAUUGCCAAACCCGCCUAUCUUGUCCAAUCCCAUGUGAUGUUGCCCCAGGUGACACAGCUACAAACACAUAAAUCCCACACAUCUGUGUGCUGCCAAGGCUCUGAGAGGAUUCGAGACCAAACCAGUCCUGUGCUGACAUAACACCAGAACAAAUGGAAAUGAAGUUGUUCUUUGUAUCAAACCAUUAACUUCACAGGCAGAAGGAUUCCUCUGAAUUUGUCAGUGUGAAUUACCGGUUGGGGGGUGCUCCCAGCUGAUGUGUCUGGUCCGGCUGCCAAGUGGGGAGAAAUCUGAUUGGAAAAGAUUUGAAGAAGCCCAUGCUGGCAGAAGGUAUUUAUAACCCUGCCACAGUGUCAGGGGCUGCCUUCGGCACCGUGGGCUCGUGGUGCUGCGCUCUGUAAAUCGCAGAUUAUGGGGGCUUUGCCUUAGGAGCUUACAGCUGAGGAGGGCUCACAGGAACUUGUGCCAUUACCUGUCAGAGAACAGAUAGUGCCUGGAUAUGGAGCUAAACUUAGUAUUAUGGGAUGUUAGUCUGAGCUCUCUUGUAUUUUCUCAGUGCGUGUAUAUCUUUCCUUAUUUGUUCUAGAUCUGUCUUGCAAAUCCAAGCAAAUCCCAAACAUCUGCAAGAGAAAACAACUACCCAAGAAUGGGAAGUGGCAAAGCUGCCUGCUCUGUUUCCACUGACCCCUUUGGUUUGUUGUUGCCUCUGUUUUCCAAAACACCCCUACACAACACAUCUUUCAUCCACCUGUUGUAUUGUGCUUUGUGAGCUGCGUGUAGGAGGAAUUGACUUCAUAACGUGCCAAUGUUGUGUAACACACCGAGCCUUGGUACUUAACUGAGCACACCAGAGGGUAAACUGAACCUAAUUUAUGUCCAGCAGCCAGACCCUGAUAGAUUUGGCUUCUUUGAUUCACGUUUUGGAUAUGAGUUUAUCCAUCCAGCCAUGUAUAAGCCACACACAACUAUAAAUGCAAAAAUACUUAGACUGAAGGAAUAUCUAUAAUUUGAACUAAAAUUUCUAAGCAGAGAGGAAAGAGAAAUCCUUAACACAAUGUGUUAAAACUCACAUAUAAGUAGGAAUGCAAUAAAAAUGUAAAUAUCCAGUUGCCAUAAAAUGAUCUAAAGCUGAACUAAUGUAUCAUAUACUGUGUAUUUAUAUGGUGGAACCUGAUUUCAUUGUCAAAGUAGUUUAAAUAGCUCUUGCUAUUUCUGAAAAAUAUGAGUGAUGAUGUCCCGUGCUAUUUUUAGGAAUAAUAUGUUUAUCUUUAUUUAGUUGCACUUAGAUGGAUGCUAUAUGGAGAAGUAAGAAUUAUCCAGUCCUGGGUUGUUUUAGUCUGGGGGAACUAAAGUUACUGGUUUGAGGUGGUGCCAGUGCUGAUCUUUCUGUUCCGUGGGUCAGCAGCUGGAGGUCUGGUCCAUUUUGGAAUCUCUUUUUGUCUGUUCCCAGCUGUCUUCCCUCUUAUCCCAUAGCAGGAUACAUAAAUUACUUUUACAAGUUCAGCAUUCUGGAGCAGUCAUAGAAGUGGAUUUUAAAAGGGGAAAAAAAUCCUCAGAUGAGAGAAGAGAGGCUGAUUCUCCCAAGGUAGUAACCAUCACCCAUCUCAUGGAAAAGCCAGGAUGGAAUAUUACACUUAGUUAAUAUAAAAAACAUAUACUUAGUGGUGCCUUACAAUUGUUCUUUUUUUUAUACUCUUGAAGAAAAAGAAAGGAUACUUUGCUUCAAAGAAUUCAGUGCAAGAACUGAACAUCAGUAUGAACUUCCAAGCUAUAAGAAGGGCUAAACCAGGUCAGGAGAGCAGAACAUGAGGGCAGUGAUGAUCUGCAGGGGGACUGAAUUUGAAGAUUCUGUGAGACAAGAGUAGAAGGUCCUAUGUUCCUCAAGUGAGAAUUAUUAUGGCCAAACUGACAGUGACUGAAGAUGACUGAGCCCCAGUUUCCAGCCAGAAACUCUUCCCUCUGCAGUGUGAGCUGCAGCUGCCCCUCGGAUCCUCCUGCUUCCUCCUGCAUGCUCAGGAGAACUGAACUGAUCCCUCUCGGGAGCUUCUCCUGCUCCAGGCUGGCAGUCCCUGCUCAAUGGGCCAGCUCACAGAACGUCCAUCUCAGCAUCCACUGCACCCUACACGGCAGAAGGGAGGUACCAGGAGAGCUGCUGCUUUUCCUUAACUUCUCCUGGCUCACUGAACUGGCAGCUGCUUGCUCUGAGUGUUUCCACGAACUAAUCUCUUUAUACGGGUAUAUGUGGGAGAAUAAAUCAU
Parus major (Great Tit) is the source of this 3522-nucleotide long non-coding RNA. RefSeq lists it as uncharacterized. The record is from RefSeq and is a predicted model, not a curated record. NCBI's taxonomy places the organism in Eukaryota, Metazoa, Chordata, Aves, Passeriformes, Paridae. The transcript has 3 exons.